UCCCGCUCAGGGUUGCACCUGGAGAGUUCCCAGUAUUCUGCCAGUCUUGACUACGGGAGGGAGAGUCAAGCAGAGGCAUAUCCAAUCCAUUCCUAGCUUGGGCAGUGGUUAGCAAGUGGAAGGCAAUCUGCUACAUGU
This is a small nucleolar RNA of Tachyglossus aculeatus (Australian echidna), 138 nucleotides long. The record is from RefSeq and is a predicted model, not a curated record. NCBI's taxonomy places the organism in Eukaryota, Metazoa, Chordata, Mammalia, Monotremata, Tachyglossidae.